RNAcentral lists this transfer RNA (98 nucleotides) under Thielaviopsis punctulata. RNAcentral's name for it is "Ceratocystis radicicola tRNA". It matches the Rfam family "tRNA". Rfam says of the family: Transfer RNA (tRNA) molecules are approximately 80 nucleotides in length. Their secondary structure includes four short double-helical elements and three loops (D, anti-codon, and T loops). Further hydrogen bonds mediate the characteristic L-shaped molecular structure. tRNAs have two regions of fundamental functional importance: the anti-codon, which is responsible for specific mRNA codon recognition, and the 3' end, to which the tRNAs corresponding amino acid is attached (by aminoacyl-tRNA synthetases). tRNAs cope with the degeneracy of the genetic code in two manners: having more than one tRNA (with a specific anti-codon) for a particular amino acid; and 'wobble' base-pairing, i.e. permitting non-standard base-pairing at the 3rd anti-codon position. The record is from Rfam by way of RNAcentral. Lineage: Eukaryota; Fungi; Ascomycota; Sordariomycetes; Microascales; Ceratocystidaceae.
GGGAGUGUGGCCGAGUGGUUAAGGCGUUGUGUUUAGGUUAUAACCAUUAACCAAAACCGCAAUGGGAAACCUCGCGAGUUCGAAUCUCGUCGCUCUCA